RNAcentral lists this ribosomal RNA (540 nucleotides) under uncultured bacterium. RNAcentral's name for it is "bacterial SSU rRNA". It matches the Rfam family "Bacterial small subunit ribosomal RNA", at positions 355 to 896 of the family's 1533-position model. The record is from RNAcentral.
UGAGGAAUAUUGGUCAAUGGACGAGAGUCUGAACCAGCCAAGUAGCGUGCAGGAUGACGGCCCUAUGGGUUGUAAACUGCUUUUGUAUGGGGAUAAAGUCAAUCACGUGUGAUUGUUUGCAGGUACCAUAUGAAUAAGGACCGGCUAAUUCCGUGCCAGCAGCCGCGGUAAUACGGAAGGUCCGGGCGUUAUCCGGAUUUAUUGGGUUUAAAGGGAGCGUAGGCCGGAGAUUAAGUGUGUUGUGAAAUGUAGACGCUCAACGUCUGACUUGCAGCGCAUACUGGUUUCCUUGAGUACGCACAACGUUGGCGGAAUUCGUCGUGUAGCGGUGAAAUGCUUAGAUAUGACGAAGAACUCCGAUUGCGAAGGCAGCUGACGGGAGCGCAACUGACGCUUAAGCUCGAAGGUGCGGGUAUCGAACAGGAUUAGAUACCCUGGUAGUCCGCACAGUAAACGAUGGAUGCCCGCUGUUGGUACCUGGUAUCAGCGGCUAAGCGAAAGCAUUAAGCAUCCCACCUGGGGAGUACGCCGGCAACGGUG